Molecule: ribosomal RNA, 500 nt
Filed under: Pseudarthrobacter equi
Lineage: Bacteria; Bacillati; Actinomycetota; Actinomycetes; Micrococcales; Micrococcaceae
Description: bacterial SSU rRNA
Rfam family: Bacterial small subunit ribosomal RNA
Source: RNAcentral
AUGACGGCCUUCGGGUUGUAAACCUCUUUCAGUAGGGAAGAAGCGUAAGUGACGGUACCUGCAGAAGAAGCGCCGGCUAACUACGUGCCAGCAGCCGCGGUAAUACGUAGGGCGCAAGCGUUAUCCGGAAUUAUUGGGCGUAAAGAGCUCGUAGGCGGUUUGUCGCGUCUGCCGUGAAAGUCCGGGGCUCAACUCCGGAUCUGCGGUGGGUACGGGCAGACUAGAGUGAUGUAGGGGAGACUGGAAUUCCUGGUGUAGCGGUGAAAUGCGCAGAUAUCAGGAGGAACACCGAUGGCGAAGGCAGGUCUCUGGGCAUUAACUGACGCUGAGGAGCGAAAGCAUGGGGAGCGAACAGGAUUAGAUACCCUGGUAGUCCAUGCCGUAAACGUUGGGCACUAGGUGUGGGGGACAUUCCACGUUUUCCGCGCCGUAGCUAACGCAUUAAGUGCCCCGCCUGGGGAGUACGGCCGCAAGGCUAAAACUCAAAGGAAUUUGACGGA